CCUACGGGAGGCAGCAGUGGGGAAUAUUGCACAAUGGGGGAAACCCUGAUGCAGCGACGCCGCGUGAGUGAAGAAGUAAUUCGUUAUGUAAAGCUCUAUCAGCAGGGAAGAAAAUGACGGUACCUGAGUCAGAAGCCCCGGCUAACUACGUGCCAGCAGCCGCGGUAAUACGUAGGGGGCAAGCGUUAUCCGGAUUUACUGGGUGUAAAGGGAGCGUAGACGGCAGUGCAAGUCUGGAGUGAAAGGCGGGGGCUCAACCCCCGGACUGCUCUGGAAACUGGACGGCUGGAGUGCAGGAGAGGUAAGUGGAAUUCCUAGUGUAGCGGUGAAAUGCGUAGAUAUUAGGAGGAACACCAGUGGCGAAGGCGGCUUACUGGACUGUAACUGACGUUGAGGCUCGAAAGCGUGGGGAGCAAACAGGAUUAGAUACCCCUGUAGUC
Molecule: ribosomal RNA, 440 nt
Filed under: uncultured bacterium
Lineage: Bacteria
Description: partial 16S ribosomal RNA
Rfam family: Bacterial small subunit ribosomal RNA
Source: RNAcentral